Non-coding RNA from Pelobates cultripes (western spadefoot toad), 370 nucleotides. NCBI's taxonomy places the organism in Eukaryota, Metazoa, Chordata, Amphibia, Anura, Pelobatidae. The record is from the annotation of a GenBank genome assembly.
GUGGUAGCUUGCAACUGUUCUGCCAGGCCCUGUAGGGCAUCCCUGGUGUAAUUAACAAAUCGUUGUUGAUUGUAAUAGAUAUAGUUAAUCCAAUUGACAUUCUUGUUGGCUGUGAUCAUUGGAAUUAAGGAUUCGAACCCAGCUGUUACUUCAUCUCUUGCUUUAAAUUCAUUAGGCACCCCCCUUGGCACACCUAUGGCAUCUAUGUAAACAUGUGGGUCAAAACUACCACGGAUUAGGGCCUCCCUUUUAGUUCUAUGGCUUGUAUGUGUGUGGUCUGACUCCUCAUGAAAGCCAUCAGGGAUAAUGUGAAUGGGCAUUAUGGCUUUUGUUAGUGUACAUUCUCCCCACCACAGCCCCACUAGCUGGG